CAUCGGCUCUAGGUUACAAGUAUAGAGUUCUAAAGUGAAAAAAGUUAAAGUUGGAUUAAAAAAAACUUAACUUUUGACAUGAUAAUUUUUUCAAUAAAGCUCGAAAAGCUACUGAAAAGAUAAUCCAAAAAUUGAGCAUUCCCUACGUAUUAAAUAAAUUAUUAUGUUUACAGAUAUCUAAUAGAUAGAAAUAGAAUAUGAAUAGAAUAUCAAAUCAUUUGCAAUAUCCAUCAACGGU
Molecule: long non-coding RNA, 238 nt
Filed under: Elaeis guineensis (African oil palm)
Lineage: Eukaryota; Viridiplantae; Streptophyta; Magnoliopsida; Arecales; Arecaceae
Description: long non-coding RNA (EGUI_LNC005406)
Source: RNAcentral